GACGAACGCUGGCGGCGUGCUUAACACAUGCAAGUCGAACGGCAAGGCCCUGCUUUUUUGGUGUUCUCGAGUGGCGAACGGGUGCGUAACACGUGAGUAACCUGCCCUUCUCUUUGGUAUAACUUCAGGAAACUGGGGUUAAUAUCGGAUAGCAUCUCCUGCUGCAUGGUGGGGGUUGGAAAGUUUCGGCUGUUGGGGAUGGACUCGCGGCUUAUCAGCUUGUUGGUGGGGGAGUGGCUUACCAAGGCAUUGACGGGUAGCCGGCAUGGGAGGGGGACCGGGCACAAUGGGACUAAGAGACGGAGCAGAGUGGAACAGGAGGCAGUGGUGGGGAGUAUGACACAGUGAGCGGAAGCCUGAUGAAGAGGCGUCGGGGGCGGAAUGACGGCCUUCGGGGAAAAAAAAGCUGUCGGCUGAGACGAAGCGUGAGUGACGGUAAUGAAUAAAGAAGCACCGGCUAACUACGUG
Molecule: ribosomal RNA, 468 nt
Filed under: uncultured bacterium
Lineage: Bacteria
Description: partial 16S ribosomal RNA
Rfam family: Bacterial small subunit ribosomal RNA
Source: RNAcentral